This 208-nucleotide ribosomal RNA is filed under the name uncultured bacterium. RNAcentral describes it as "partial 16S ribosomal RNA". It matches the Rfam family "Bacterial small subunit ribosomal RNA", at positions 568 to 775 of the family's 1533-position model. The record is from RNAcentral.
UGUGUAGGUGGCCUGUUAAGUUCCGUGUGAAAUCUCCCGGCUCAACCGGGAGGGUGCGCGGAAAACUGGCGGGCUAGAGUACGGGAUGGGAGAGUAGAAUUCCUGGUGUAGCGGUGAAAUGCGUAGAUAUCAGGAGGAAUACCGGUGGUGUAGACGGCUCUCUGGACCGUAACUGACACUGAGACACGAAAGCGUGGGUAGCAAAACA